Molecule: ribosomal RNA, 427 nt
Filed under: uncultured bacterium
Lineage: Bacteria
Description: bacterial SSU rRNA
Rfam family: Bacterial small subunit ribosomal RNA
Source: RNAcentral
UGGGGAAUAUUGCACAAUGGGGGAAACCCUGAUGCAGCCAUGCCGCGUGUGUGAAGAAGGCCUUCGGGUUGUAAAGCACUUUCAGCGAGGAGGAAAGGUUGAUGCCUAAUACGCAUCAACUGUGACGUUACUCGCAGAAGAAGCACCGGCUAACUCCGUGCCAGCAGCCGCGGUAAUACAGAGGGUGCAAGCGUUAAUCGGAAUUACUGGGCGUAAAGCGCGCGUAGGUGGUUAGUUAAGUUGGAUGUGAAAUCCCCGGGCUCAACCUGGGAACUGCAUUCAAAACUGACUGACUAGAGUAUGGUAGAGGGUGGUGGAAUUUCCUGUGUAGCGGUGAAAUGCGUAGAUAUAGGAAGGAACACCAGUGGCGAAGGCGACCACCUGGACUGAUACUGACACUGAGGUGCGAAAGCGUGGGGAGCAAACA